GCUGGUGAGUUUGCGUGCGGGGAAACACCUGUUCCCAUUCCGAACACAGUAGUGAAGCCCGUACGGCCGAUGGUAGUCCCGAGUGGCGAGAGUAGGUGAUUGCCAGCU
Molecule: ribosomal RNA, 108 nt
Filed under: Phycisphaerae bacterium
Lineage: Bacteria; Pseudomonadati; Planctomycetota; Phycisphaerae
Also listed under: 1 other name
Source: RNAcentral